This 491-nucleotide ribosomal RNA is filed under the name uncultured bacterium. RNAcentral's name for it is "partial 16S ribosomal RNA". It matches the Rfam family "Bacterial small subunit ribosomal RNA", at positions 28 to 507 of the family's 1533-position model. The record is from RNAcentral.
GAUGAACGCUAGCGGCAGGCCUAACACAUGCAAGGUCGAGGGGGCAUCGCGGUGCAGCAAUGCACUGGCGGCGACCGGCGUACGGGUGCGUAACGCGUAUGCAACCUGCCCCGCACCGGGGGAUAGCCCGCCGAAAGGCGGAUUAAUACCCCAGUGGUCCCGGGGGCCCGCAUGGGCAUCCGGGUAAAGCCUUGGCGGUGCGGGAUGGGCAUGCGUGCCAUUAGCUGGGCUGGUGGGGUAACGGCCCACCAGGGCAACGAUGGCUAGGGGGUCUGAGAGGAUGGUCCCCCACACUGGUACUGAGACACGGACCAGACUCCUACGGGAGGCAGCAGUGAGGAAUAUUGGUCAAUGGGGCGGAAGCCUGAACCAGCCAUGCCGCGUGCGGGAUGAAGGCCCUACGGGUUGUAAACCGCUUUUCCCCGGGAAGAAUAAGCCCCCCGCGGGGGGUGAUGCCGGUACCGGGGGAAUAAGGAUCGGCUAACUCCGUG